GAUGAACGCUGGCGGCGUGCCUAAUACAUGCAAGUCGAGCGAACAGACGAGGAGCUUGCUCCUCUGACGUUAGCGGCGGACGGGUGAGUAACACGUGGAUAACCUACCUAUAAGACUGGGAUAACUUCGGGAAACCGGAGCUAAUACCGGAUAAUAUAUUGAACCGCAUGGUUCAAUAGUGAAAGACGGUUUUGCUGUCACUUAUAGAUGGAUCCGCGCCGCAUUAGCUAGUUGGUAAGGUAACGGCUUACCAAGGCGACGAUGCGUAGCCGACCUGAGAGGGUGAUCGGCCACACUGGAACUGAGACACGGUCCAGACUCCUACGGGAGGCAGCAGUAGGGAAUCUUCCGCAAUGGGCGAAAGCUUGACGGAGCAACGCCGCGUGAGUGAUGAAGGUCUUCGGAUCGUAAAACUCUGUUAUUAGGGGAGAACAAAUGUGUAAGUAACUAUGCACGUCUUGACGGUACCUAAUCAGAAAGCCACGGCUAACUACGUG
This 497-nucleotide ribosomal RNA is filed under the name uncultured bacterium. RNAcentral's name for it is "partial 16S ribosomal RNA". It matches the Rfam family "Bacterial small subunit ribosomal RNA", at positions 28 to 507 of the family's 1533-position model. The record is from RNAcentral.